GGUAUGUCUUUGCCUAAAGGAGUCGAUCGAAACCAACAUAGUCCCCUCUCUCUCAAGUCGCUCCAUCGUUCUUUCUUUCCUUAGUUCUCUCACGUUUCAGAUCCGACACUAAACGAGCUGCCAUUGGCAAACUAAUAACACACGGCCCUAAUACUGCCCCUGACGAUAAUGUCUUGCGUGACCUGUCUUCCUCUGGAGUUGCUCUUAUACAUGCGAAUGAAGUUCAAUCGAAUUUGUUUGACUGGAUGCGGAGGAAUCCACCUCCGGCUAAUAUAUUGCUCAUAUCUGGUCCUACAGAACUGGAAAGCCUAGCUCAUACUAUUUAUGGGCUAGAUAGUGAGGGAUACACAGUUUUUAUGGCAUAUUCUCAACGUCGCCCAGCAUCAGACUGGCUCUGGAAGAGCUUUUUUUCUGGGGUUUACAAAGAGUGGCUCUGGACAAGCUUACUAACAGCUGAUAUGGAUUCUUCAGGGACGUUGUCUGCGGAUAAUAAACAGUUGAUGACAACCAGACUUGUUCUUCCGAGCAAGUUCAGUGAAAUAGGUGGUGAAUCUCCCUGGUUUUGCUCAUUUUGCUUUUAUGCUGCUCAAAGCUUAAUUUGAAGAUUUCACGACUCAUCUCAAGAGUAAAGCACAUCGAAAUAAUGAUCCGGACUUGGUGGAAAAUGGUGGAUGUGAUGAAGCUUUAACCAAUUGAAUGCAAGUUGAAAUUAACAGAGGUCUAGGAGGGGGAGUAUUGAAGUUGUAUUUUAAAUGAUUUUUGAGUAUUUUUGAAAUCUCUUAUUAUUUCAAUUAGGAUUUUUAAGAAUCGUUUAAAAUCCUAUUUUAUUCAACUUGAAAUUUAUUUAAAACCAUUUAAAAUAAUAUAUACAAUCUCUUGUUAUA
Non-coding RNA from Camelina sativa (false flax), 884 nucleotides. The record is from RefSeq and is a predicted model, not a curated record. Lineage: Eukaryota; Viridiplantae; Streptophyta; Magnoliopsida; Brassicales; Brassicaceae.